This 497-nucleotide ribosomal RNA is filed under the name uncultured bacterium. Its description in RNAcentral is "partial 16S ribosomal RNA". It matches the Rfam family "Bacterial small subunit ribosomal RNA", at positions 28 to 507 of the family's 1533-position model. The record is from RNAcentral.
GAUGAACGCUGGCGGCGUGCCUAAUACAUGCAAGUCGAGCGAACAGACGAGGAGCUUGCUCCUCUGACGUUAGCGGCGGACGGGUGAGUAACACGUGGAUAACCUACCUAUAAGACUGGGAUAACUUCGGGAAACCGGAGCUAAUACCGGAUAAUAUAUUGAACCGCAUGGUUCAAUAGUGAAAGACGGUUUUGCUGUCACUUAUAGCUGGAUCCGCGCCGCAUUAGCUAGUUGGUAAGGUAACGGCUUACCAAGGCAACGAUGCGUAGCCGACCUGAGAGGGUGAUCGGCGACACUGGAGCUGAGACGCGGUCCGUACUCCUACGGGAGGCAGCAGUAGGGAAUCUUCCGCAAUGGGCGAAAGCUUGACGGAGCAACGCCGCGUGAGUGAUGAAGAUCUUCGGAUCGUAAAACUCUGUUAUUAGGGAAGAACAAAUGUGGAAGUAACUAUGCACGUCUUGACGGUACCUAAUCAGAAAGCCACGGCUAACUACGUG